This 247-nucleotide ribosomal RNA is filed under the name uncultured bacterium. Its description in RNAcentral is "partial 16S ribosomal RNA". It matches the Rfam family "Bacterial small subunit ribosomal RNA", at positions 523 to 769 of the family's 1533-position model. The record is from RNAcentral.
AUACGUAGGGGGCAAGCGUUAUCCGGAAUUACUGGGUGUAAAGGGAGAGUAGGCGGCAUGAUAAGUUAGAUGUGAAAGCCUUGGGCUUAACCCGAGGAUUGCAUUUAAAACUAUCAAGCUAGAGUACAGGAGAGGUAAGUGGAAUUCCUAGUGUAGCGGUGAAAUGCGUGGAUAUUAGGAAGAACACCAGUGGCGAAGGCGACUACCUGGACCGAUACUGACACUGAGGAGCGAAAGCGUGGGGAGC